Molecule: ribosomal RNA, 205 nt
Filed under: Cryptosporidium felis
Lineage: Eukaryota; Apicomplexa; Conoidasida; Eucoccidiorida; Cryptosporidiidae
Description: partial 18S ribosomal RNA
Rfam family: Eukaryotic small subunit ribosomal RNA
Source: RNAcentral
UAAAAGAUUUUUAUCUUUUUUUUAUUGGUUCUAAGAUAAAAAUAAUGAUUAAUAGGGACAGUUGGGGGCAUUUGUAUUUAACAGUCAGAGGUGAUAUUCUUAGAUUUGUUAAAGACAAACUAAUGCGAAAGCAUUUGCCAAGGAUGUUUUCAUUAAUCAAGAACGAAAGUUAGGGGAUCGAAGACGAUCAGAUACCGUCGUAGUC